Molecule: non-coding RNA, 81 nt
Filed under: bovine gut metagenome
Description: TPP riboswitch (THI element)
Rfam family: TPP riboswitch aptamer (THI element)
About the family: Vitamin B(1) in its active form thiamin pyrophosphate (TPP) is an essential coenzyme that is synthesised by coupling of pyrimidine and thiazole moieties in bacteria. The previously detected thiamin-regulatory element, thi box was extended, resulting in a new, highly conserved RNA secondary structure, the THI element, which is widely distributed in eubacteria and also occurs in some archaea. Analysis of operon structures identified a large number of new candidate thiamin-regulated genes, mostly transporters, in various prokaryotic organisms.
Source: RNAcentral
UCAGGGGUGCCGCAAGGCUGAGACAGGUAUUUGCCUGAACCCUUUUCACCUGAUACGGAUCAUGCCGUCGUAGGGAGAUCG